This 68-nucleotide transfer RNA is filed under the name bovine gut metagenome. It matches the Rfam family "tRNA". Rfam says of the family: Transfer RNA (tRNA) molecules are approximately 80 nucleotides in length. Their secondary structure includes four short double-helical elements and three loops (D, anti-codon, and T loops). The record is from RNAcentral.
CGGAAUGGCUCAGUUGGUAGAGCGACGCAUUCGUAAUGCGUAGGUCAGGGGUUCGAGUCCCCUUUCCG